This is a non-coding RNA of Vicia faba (fava bean), 237 nucleotides long. NCBI's taxonomy places the organism in Eukaryota, Viridiplantae, Streptophyta, Magnoliopsida, Fabales, Fabaceae. The record is from the annotation of a GenBank genome assembly.
AUGUCACAUAAUCCAUCGUGUGGUUUCAGAAUUGGCUUAGAUUAUCCCAUUCUUUACAUACACUUGAAUGGUAUGUUUGUGCUAAGUAUAGUACUUGUGUUAAUGAUAAAUCUAUGUUUCUGCUCAUAUCUAGUCUACAUUUUUAGUGAGAUGAUGAUGAUGAUGAUGAUGAUACUGGUAGUUUUCUUAAUUUUCUUUUACUCAUUUGCUUUGAAACGUGUCUGCUGUCUUGGGUGA